CCCGCCGCACGUGCAUGGACCAAGGUCCCUGGAAUCCAUGAGAGGACACAGUCAGGGAUCUUCACGUAGGGCCCUAUCCCUUAGGCCCCCUUAUGCUCGGGGGCACACCCCCCCCCCCCUUUUUUUAUUAUUUUACUUUACCUGGCUCACAGAACUUAACUAUCACACGAGCUACUUAAGCCCUGUACCCGCUCUCCCACAUAUACAUGGCUCAAUGUACAGAGCUGUAAUCCAACAUAUCGAGUUAGUCCUUCGUGUCACUUUUUUUUUUUCACUCUGCAAUACACCGAAUAAUGGUUAACAUGUACGACUUCUUCCGCUGUAGCGAAUAUGCUCCUGUAAUGUUGUCCACUCCUCUUAAAUUUCAAUAAGUGCACUGUUUAUGUUUUCUGAGUAAAGAAUGCAACAAACGCCCAUUACUCAAUCUCAUGCAAAAGCUAAACCUAGCCUGUAUAACCCAGCUUGCUUUACAUCAUAAAAAGCUUGAUCAUUAAUUGUAUGUUUAAUCCUCGCAUGUCGAUCUACAAUAGGCACCUAUCUCUUG
Molecule: non-coding RNA, 544 nt
Organism: Pelobates cultripes (western spadefoot toad)
Lineage: Eukaryota; Metazoa; Chordata; Amphibia; Anura; Pelobatidae
Source: the annotation of a GenBank genome assembly